Molecule: long non-coding RNA, 821 nt
Organism: Hippocampus zosterae (dwarf seahorse)
Lineage: Eukaryota; Metazoa; Chordata; Actinopteri; Syngnathiformes; Syngnathidae
Exons: 3
Source: RefSeq, a predicted model, not a curated record
GCCGCGGAUGACGGCCGGGGGCGCCAAAAGCCUCACAGGGGGCGGGGCUUUGGCCCCCCCGUCACACGUAGAAGGGAACAGCGGCAUGUGGGCGGCGGGCUCUCGAUCUUGGCGAAUUGCGGAGAAAUUUAGCAGACAUUUAAAAAAAAAAAAAAGUGGAGCGUAAACGAGUUAACUCAUAUUUUGGCCCCUGUUCGCUGGCUGCUUUCAAGGUGAUAUUAAGAUUUAGUUUUGUAUUCAAGUCUCUGAAUGGUCUCGCCUCGCCUCACUGAGCUGCUCCAUCCAGUUGCUCUUGGAGGUGGAAGCCGAAGAGAUUGGUUUUUUUUUCUAUUGUUGGUCUCAAAUGUUCAAUUGUCUGACGUUUGCGUUUUACAUCCAUAAAGCUGCGCUGAUUUUUCAACGUGCAUAUCCUCUCACCUCUGUAGAAGCGCUCUCCAAUUCGCUGAGGGCCCACAGCCAAACCGGCUUCGUCUGCUGGCCUGGCCUUCGGUCACUGCCUCCAACCUGCCUGCGCUCGACUAAAUAGCUGUGUGCCUGUGGAGUCCUCGGUCAGCGGGGAGUCUGAGGAUGUUAGUCGGCGAGGAAGCCAAUUGGCCAGCUGACUGCAAUUUGGCCACACAAACAACGGCGUUGAAAAAGUUGAUGGGCAACGUUUGAAUUCUUACAAUGAGACUCAAAGUUUGGCAUCACAUUCUAAUUGGACUGGUGUGCACACACGCGAGAAGCACGUCAAACUUAGCUUUUAGGAAUAUUUUCAAUCGGCAAACGGCAAACUCUGUCUUGAACAAAUCUGAUUGUAAUAAUUGUCAUUUUCUUUUUAU